AGAGUUUGAUCCUGGCUCAGGAUGAACGCUGGCGGCGUGCCUAAUACAUGCAAGUCGAACGAAGAUCUAGCUUGCUAGAUCUUAGUGGCGAACGGGUGAGUAAUACAUAAAUAAUCUGCCCAUUGGACUGGGAUAACUAUUGGAAACGAUAGCUAAUACCGGAUAAGUGACCUGAAGAGAAAAGGUGGCCUCUUUACAAUGCUACCACUUACAGAUGAAUCCGCGUCCCAUUAGCUAGUUGGUGGGGUAAUGGCCUACCAAGGCGACGAUGGGUAGCCGGCCUGAGAGGGUGACCGGCCACACUGGAACUGAGACACGGUCCAGACUCCUACGGGAGGCAGCAGUGGGGAAUUUUCCGCAAUGGGCGAAAGCCUGACGGAGCAACGCCGCGUGAGUGAUGAAGGCCUUCGGGUUGUAAAGCUCUGUCAUUGGGGAAGAACAUUCAGGAUAGGAAAUGACGAAACAAAUGACGGUACCUUACGAGGAAGCCACGGCUAACUACGUGCCAGCAGCCGCGGUAAUACGUAGGUGGCAAGCGUUAUCCGGAAUUAUUGGGCGUAAAGGGAGCGUAGGCGGUUUGAUAAGUCUGAGGUGAAAGUUCGGGGCUCAACUCCGAAUUGCCUUAGAAACUGUCAGACUAGAGUGCAGGAGAGGGCAAUGGAAUUCCAUGUGUAGCGGUAAAAUGCGUAGAUAUAUGGAGGAACACCAGUGGCGAAGGCGGUUGCCUGGCCUGUAACUGACGCUGAGGCUCGAAAGCGUGGGGAGCAAAUAGGAUUAGAUACCCUAGUAGUCCACGCUGUAAACGAUGAUUACUAAGUGUUGGAGCAAUUCAGUGCUGCAGUUAACGCAAUAAGUAAUCCGCCUGGGGAGUACGGUCGCAAGUGUGAAACUCAAAGGAAUUGACGGGGGCCCGCACAAGCGGUGGAGUAUGUGGUUUAAUUCGAAGCAACGCGAAGAACCUUACCAAGUCUUGACAUACUCCUGCUGGAAACAGUGGGGUCAGUUCGGCUGGAUCGGAGACAGGUGCUGCAUGGCUGUCGUCAGCUCGUGUCGUGAGAUGUUGGGUUAAGUCCCGCAACGAGCGCAACCCUUGUCUUUAGUUACCAUCAUUCAGUUGGGGACUCUAGAGAGACUGCCGGUGACAAACCGGAGGAAGGUGGGGAUGACGUCAAAUCAUCAUGCCCCUUAUGACUUGGGCUACACACGUACUACAAUGGCGUAUACAGAGAGACGCGAAGUGGCGACAUGGAGCAAACCUCACAAAGUACGUCUCAGUUCAGAUUGGAGUCUGCAACUCGACUCCAUGAAGGCGGAAUCGCUAGUAAUCGCGGAUCAGCAUGCCGCGGUGAAUACGUUCUCGGGGUUUGUACACACAGCCCGUCA
RNAcentral lists this ribosomal RNA (1383 nucleotides) under uncultured bacterium. RNAcentral describes it as "bacterial SSU rRNA". It matches the Rfam family "Bacterial small subunit ribosomal RNA". The record is from RNAcentral.